Molecule: ribosomal RNA, 119 nt
Filed under: Pteropus alecto (black flying fox)
Lineage: Eukaryota; Metazoa; Chordata; Mammalia; Chiroptera; Pteropodidae
Source: RNAcentral
GUCUAUGGCCAUGCUACCCUGAACAAGCCCAAUCCCGUCUGAUCUCAGAAGAUAAGCAAGGUCAGGCCUGGUUAGUACUUGGAUGGGAGACCACCUAGAAAGACCAGGUGCUGUAGGUG